UUUUUUACUUCUUCUUCCUCCAUCCUUCCGUUUUCAAUUUCUUCUUCUUACUUCACUAAGCUCUUCCUUUCCUUGGCUCGUGGUGGUUUGUUACCUGCAUUAUCUCGGUGGUUUGUUACCUGCAUUGCCUUCAUCGUGGUGGUGAGUAUUGCGGUGGCAACGGCAGUCAAAAUACGGAUCCAUAUAGCUUAUACACAGAUUGAUUGACAAUCAAUGUGAACUUUACGUCAGAUUGUACCAAUUGUCAAUCCGUAUAUAUAAGCUUUCCCGUGUCAUUUUCAUUCCAACUUCCACUUCUAUGCUUUCAAUCUCUCACUCUUCUCUUUUCCGUCUUCAUUCAGCUGCAAGCAUCACCACCCUCCUCAAAGCCAGCAAGAAAAGUGAGCACCUGAAACAAAUGCAAGCGUGCGUCAUCCAUCACGCCCUCGAGCAAGACCACUUCCUCGUUUCCCUCUUCAUUUCCUGCGCCCACACCCUCCUCUCCACUUUCUCCUAUGCCUUUUCCAUCUUCUACCACGUUCUCGCCCUUCCCACCUUCCUCUGGAACACUCUCGUCAAAUCCCACUGCCAAAAGAAUCUCUUUUCCCACACCCUCUCCGUCUUCGCUCGCAUGAAGGCACAUGGGGAACUCCCCUAUAGCUUCACCUACCCUUUUGUCAUUAAGGCCUAUUCUGGUGCAUGCAAGGUAAGGGAGGGAAAAUUGCUUCAUGGUUUCGCGUUUCUGUGCAGCAUUGACCAUGAUCUCUACAAGGGCACCAUUUUGAUCAACAUGUAUAGGAAAUGCAGGGAUAUUGCUGAUGCUUGUAAGGUGUUUCAUGGGAUGUCUGUAGGAAUGUGAUUUCCUGGACUACUAUGCUCAUAAGGUGUUUGACGCAAUGCCUGGGAAGAAUGUUGUUUCUUUCACCACCAUGAUUGAUGGGUAUGCCAAGGCGGGUGACAUGACGACAGUGAGGUUCUUGUUUGAUCCUUCUCUGGAGAAGGAUGUUGUUGCUUGGUCUGCUUUGAUAUAUGAUUGACAAUCCGAAUAGCCUAUACAGAUUGACAAUCCAUGUGAGCUAUAGGGAAUCCGUAUAGUUCACAUAGAUUAUCAAUCCAUAUAGGCUAUACGGAUUGAUAUUUCGCAGAUAUGUAGAAAACUUACCUUCGGACUGAUGUUGCCACCACAACACCCACCAAGAGGACGAUGAAGGCAAUGCAAGUAACAAUCCAUCACGAGCCAAGGGAAGGAGGACCUCAGUGAAGUAAAAAGAAGAAAUUGAAAAGGGAAGAAAGGAAAAAGAAGAAGUAAAAGAGGGCAACAUUAGAGUUAAUAAAAAAUUGAAUGUUGUAGGAAGAAAAACAGGAUUACUACUCAAAUAAAAAGAAGCAGGAUAACUCAUCUAGAAUCAGAGAUGGGUGGCAAAAGGACACUCACAGGAGUCAUAUUGCAGAUUCUUUCCCAAAUAAUGCAUUUUCAGAUCGAUAUAAUCCUUCACAAUCUGUUGGGAUCUGUGAGGAUGAUAUCUCCUCGGACUCUAAAUAUAUCAAGUCGAUCAGAUAAAUUUUACGACAAGGAAAUUUAUUAGCAUUGUCUUGGUCAGAACUGUGAAGACACUACACCUGCUGUGGCUUGUGGGUUUCUUCCUUGUUUAGUAGAAGAGAUCCAGCGGUGAUGAAGUGACUUCAACAAAAAUGAUAUCAAGUUCUGAUAAGUAAACCCUUGUGCAUGUCCAGAUACAAAGAGGAGGGUGGGUACGAGGGAAACGAGUGUGACAACUAUAGCCUGGCCUAGUAUAUGAUUUACUUAAAUUGUGCAAAUUGCAAACUCGUUUUCCUUUUGUGUUUUUGCCAUCACUUUUAAUGACUAUCAUGAAAUAAUUUGAUUACUGGGUUGUAUAAUUAAAUUAAUAAGGCAUUAAAUUGUAAUGCAGUACAAUUUUAUGGAAUAAUCUCAGUUUAGCGCAAAGGCUA
Glycine soja is the source of this 1950-nucleotide long non-coding RNA. RefSeq lists it as uncharacterized. The transcript is spliced from 2 exons. The record is from RefSeq and is a predicted model, not a curated record. Lineage: Eukaryota; Viridiplantae; Streptophyta; Magnoliopsida; Fabales; Fabaceae.